Molecule: transfer-messenger RNA, 404 nt
Filed under: Candidatus Aquirickettsiella gammari
Lineage: Bacteria; Pseudomonadati; Pseudomonadota; Gammaproteobacteria; Legionellales; Coxiellaceae
Also listed under: 1 other name
Rfam family: transfer-messenger RNA
About the family: Bacterial tmRNA, also known as 10Sa RNA or SsrA, is named for its dual tRNA and mRNA-like properties. Its role is to liberate the mRNA from a stalled ribosome.
Source: Rfam by way of RNAcentral
GGGGGCGAUCUGGCUUCGACGUUGGUUACAAACCCUAAGGUGCAUGUCGAGGACGCAACUUUGCCUCGUUAAUCAUGUUGCAAACUUAUAGUUGCAAACGACGACUAUAUCUCCGCUAAAGACGUUGCGAUUGCUGCCUAACCGGUAGUAAAUUUUCAACGUUGUGCCGCCUAAACAGCGGCUAGCGCCAUGAACUUCAUAGGCUUGUAUGUGGAGGGAUUGGUCAUAACUGACAAGCUCGUAGCCUAGCCUGUCUGGGGCGAAUGCUACUAAAACCAAUCAGACUCGUUGAUGAGUUCCCUGUCUAUCGGAGAUUUAUCGAUUAAAUUUAAAGAUUGACUAAACAUGUAGUGCCAAGGGCAGCGGACUGGCGGACGUGGGUUCGAUUCCCACCGCCUCCACCA